CGUCGCCACGGGAAUACAGAGGGUGCAAGCGUUAAUCGGAAUUACUGGGCGUAAAGCGCGCGUAGGUGGUUUGUUAAGUUGGAUGUGAAAGCCCCGGGCUCAACCUGGGAACUGCAUCCAAAACUGGCAAGCUAGAGUACGGUAGAGGGUGGUGGAAUUUCCUGUGUAGCGGUGAAAUGCGUAGAUAUAGGAAGGAACACCAGUGGCGAAGGCGACCACCUGGACUGAUACUGACACUGAGGUGCGAAAGCGUGGGGAGCAAACAGGAUUAGAUACCCCAGUAGUCCCUGUCUCUUAUACA
RNAcentral lists this ribosomal RNA (301 nucleotides) under uncultured bacterium. RNAcentral's name for it is "partial 16S ribosomal RNA". It matches the Rfam family "Bacterial small subunit ribosomal RNA", at positions 510 to 808 of the family's 1533-position model. The record is from RNAcentral.